This 505-nucleotide ribosomal RNA is filed under the name uncultured bacterium. RNAcentral's name for it is "partial 16S ribosomal RNA". It matches the Rfam family "Bacterial small subunit ribosomal RNA", at positions 28 to 507 of the family's 1533-position model. The record is from RNAcentral.
GACGAACGCUGGCGGCGUGCCUAAUACAUGCAAGUAGAACGCACAGUUUAUACCGUAGCUUGCUACACCAUAGACUGUGAGUUGCGAACGGGUGAGUAACGCGUAGGUAACCUGCCUGGUAGCGGGGGAUAACUAUUGGAAACGAUAGCUAAUACCGCAUAAUAUUGAUUAUUGCAUGAUAAUUGAUUGAAAGAUGCUAUUGCAUCACUACCAGAUGGACCUGCGUUGUAUUAGCUAGUAGGUGAGGUAACGGCUCACCUAGGCGACGAUACAUAGCCGACCUGAGAGGGUGAUCGGCCACACUGGGGCUGAGACACGGCCCAGACUCCUACGGGAGGCAGCAGUAGGGAAUCUUCGGCAAUGGACGAAAGUCUGACCGAGCAACGCCGCGUGAGUGAAGAAGGUUUUCGGAUCGUAAAGCUCUGUUGUAAGAGAAGAACGGGUGUGAGAGUGGAAAGUUCACACUGUGACGGUAUCUUACCAGAAAGGGACGGCUAACUACGUG